GGAGGAGCCCAGAGCCUGAAUCAGUGUGUGUGUUAGUGGAAGCGUCUGGAAAGGCGCGCGAUACAGGGUGACAGCCCCGUACACAAAAAUGCACAUAUUGUGAGCUCGAUGAGUAGGGCGGGACACGUGGUAUCCUGUCUGAAUAUGGGGGGACCAUCCUCCAAGGCUAAAUACUCCUGACUGACCGAUAGUGAACCAGUACCGUGAGGGAAAGGCGAAAAGAACCCCGGCGAGGGGAGUGAAAAAGAACCUGAAACCGUGUACGUACAAGCAGUGGGAGCCUCUUAAUGGGGUGACUGCGUACCUUUUGUAUAAUGGGUCAGCGACUUAUAUUCUGUAGCAAGGUUAACCGAAUAGGGGAGCCGAAGGGAAACCGAGUCUUAACUGGGCGUUAAGUUGCAGGGUAUAGACCCGAAACCCGGUGAUCUAGCCAUGGGCAGGUUGAAGGUUGGGUAACACUAACUGGAGGACCGAACCGACUAAUGUUGAAAAAUUAGCGGAUGACUUGUGGCUGGGGGUGAAAGGCCAAUCAAACCGGGAGAUAGCUGGUUCUCCCCGAAAGCUAUUUAGGUAGCGCCUCGUGAAUUCAUCUCCGGGGGUAGAGCACUGUUUCGGCAAGGGGGUCAUCCCGACUUACCAACCCGAUGCAAACUGCGAAUACCGGAGAAUGUUAUCACGGGAGACACACGGCGGGUGCUAACGUCCGUCGUGAAGAGGGAAACAACCCAGACCGCCAGCUAAGGUCCCAAAGUCAUGGUUAAGUGGGAAACGAUGUGGGAAGGCCCAGACAGCCAGGAUGUUGGCUUAGAAGCAGCCAUCAUUUAAAGAAAGC
This 832-nucleotide ribosomal RNA is filed under the name Escherichia coli. RNAcentral's name for it is "partial 23S ribosomal RNA". It matches the Rfam family "Bacterial large subunit ribosomal RNA", at positions 291 to 1133 of the family's 2925-position model. The record is from RNAcentral. Lineage: Bacteria; Pseudomonadati; Pseudomonadota; Gammaproteobacteria; Enterobacterales; Enterobacteriaceae.